CAAUAGCGUAUAUUAAAGUUGUUGCAGUUAAAAAGCUCGUAGUUGGAUUUCGGGGCAGCCUGGCUGGUCCGCCGCAAGGCGAGUACUGGUCAGCCGCCCUUCCUCUCGAAAGCCCCGACUGCUCUUUAUUGCAGUGGUCGGGUAGUUCGGGACGUUUACUUUGAAAAAAUUAGAGUGUUCAAGGCAGGCCUACGCCUGAAUACAUUAGCAUGGAAUAAUGGAAGAGGACCUCGGUCCUAUUUUGUUGGUUUCCAGGACCGAAGUAAUGAUUAAGAGGGACAAUUGGGGGCAUUCGUAUUUAAUUGUCAGAGGUGAAAUUCUCGGAUUUAUGAAAGACGAACAACUGCGAAAGCAUUUGCCAAGGAUGUUUUCAUUAA
Molecule: ribosomal RNA, 377 nt
Filed under: uncultured eukaryote
Lineage: Eukaryota
Description: partial 18S ribosomal RNA
Rfam family: Eukaryotic small subunit ribosomal RNA
Source: RNAcentral